This is a long non-coding RNA of Athene cunicularia (burrowing owl), 7240 nucleotides long. RefSeq lists it as uncharacterized. The record is from RefSeq and is a predicted model, not a curated record. The transcript is spliced from 3 exons. Lineage: Eukaryota; Metazoa; Chordata; Aves; Strigiformes; Strigidae.
AAAAUAUAGUCUUUUAUUUACAGUCCUGUUCCUUAAGAAUUUAAAAAUAAAUACUCCCACUACAAUAACUUUUACAAAGUUACUCAUGUGUACAUCCUUUUUUCAGAAAAUUAAACUUUCAGAUACAUACACACACACAUACAUAUAUAUAAUUACAAUGUGAAGGGAGGAAAAAGAUCACCUGAAUCUAUUUUAGCUUAUUCUUUUAAGACAUUUAUAACAUAUUUAGUUAAGAACUACCCAAAGGAGAUUGAUUCCUGAAAAAGAAAAAACCUAACCCAUACUAAUAUUCCAUUAUUUUUGCUGUACAUUUUGGGGGACGAAAAAUGCAAAGUUGAGCUCAAUUCAAAUGUCAGCAAAUAUAUAACUGCUGAGUGUAUGUGUGAACAUUCAAGCAAAACUAUUAUUUUAUUAGAGCAAAUCCCAUAUGGACGUGAGAGACUUAAACCCUGUUACAUCUGUGAAACUUGCUAGGUACACAGAGAAUAUUAAUAGCAUUGUGAGAGAAUUUGCUAUUUUGCUACAUCUUCAGAGAGAAGUUAACUGGCCAAAGAGGCCUGUAUUUUGAUGGGUUUGAAUCAUAUGGAGAGAAGAGAGGGAAGAGUACCAAAACCAAUAAUGUUCAACAGUGCAACUAUUCAACUCAAAAUUACUGGAAAGUAAAACAACAAAAAAAAUUCCAAAUAACUAAGUGAAAAUUAUACUAUAAUCCUACUAAAAAGCACCUUCCAGAGGUUAACUCUGAUUCCUUCCAAAAUAAUAUUUCUCUGUUUUUGCUUCCUAUAAAUUCUGAUUAUGGCAAAGCUUUUAGCUUGUACAAGGAGUAAGAGCUGAGUAAAAUGGGCAGCUUUUCUUCUUGAUGCUGAUACUUCCCCCCAAAUAAUGUGUCAUUAUAAUAAAUACAUAUUUUCAAAAAACUGUAAAAAUAAUUCUGUUUCUUCUGGGCAACAUACUGCCAGUCACCAGCUGGACAUUCAGAAUUUUGCCGAGAGCUACUACAAGAAAUACUACUUUAACCAACUCGCUGUAAGAAGUCCUUACCCAAUCUCAUCUGACAUGGAGUGUGAGUUUUCUCUUCCUUUGCAACAGGUAUUACGGACGUUUCAAAACCAGUGCAAUAUGACAAGAAUGCAUUUCAUUUCACACAGCGUUUCUGAACUUGACACCUGACAUUAAAUUUUCCUCUCAAGUUUCCUUUUUCUGAGCUAUAUGCAGAUGAAAUGGUGUUGUUCAGGCUAUAGUAGUUACAGGUGGACGUGCUGAGCAUGCACACAGAUUAUUUUAUUUGACUAGCACUCAAGCUUACAUAGAAGUUUGUCCAAGACAACUUGUCUCAAUUAUCUGAUGUAAUACCAUCUUUCAAUUAAAACAAACAAACAAAACCAAACACUUAAAUAGGAAGUUAUGUGAGGAUGGACUUCUUCAUAUAAAAAUGCACUAGAAGAUAUAGUGAGCUUUAUAUUGUUUCAGUGGCAUUGUUUACCAACAUUUUCAUUUUAGGUAUGUUACUGAGUCUCUUUACUUAACCCCUGGAUAAGCGAUGGAAAAUAAUAUGUAUAAAAUGUAAUGCCAAAAUAUCCUGUACCACACAUGCUUCUGGUCUGGAGUCAAGCAGAAUUUGAACAUGUAACUAAAUACACAAGUUCUGCCUCCUACCCAGAGACACAGGCUUUCUUGAUGUAAAAUGCAUGAAAACAUUGUAUUGAUGGUCUAACUCUGAAAGCAAGUUGUGUUCGACUUGGGUGAAGGCUCAACUCACGUGUAGUAAAGCUGCAUAAGUCUUUAUUGUGAGUUAAUUAACAUCUUACCCAAUAGUUAAGUUCUUCUUGGACUGUUAGCAACUUUGCUUUUAAUAAAAGAAGGAGUGGGGAAUUAUAUGAAUUGCUGAGGAAAAAUGGUGAUAAGGGAGGAGUUCCCCAUGCCAGAUGCCAGUUUGCUGAAUAUGAACAUUACAGGGAAUCUUUAAGGAAUGAGAUUUCUAAUUUCUUUACAGCCCUUCUAAAAUGCACUGAACUGUAACACAGAAUGUAUAACAAUGAAAAGGAAACAGAAGAAAAGUACUGGUUUUCUGUGGAAUGAAAUAAGUUUUAUUCCUUUACCAUCCCAUCAGAUAUGAAAUAAUAGAACUGUGACCUUGUUCCAUUUUCAUUUAUUACGAAUUUAUUUUGUAAUAUGUACCAUAUUACAAAAUGGUAUCUUCUCCCCUUAAAUCUAGAAGAUAACCACACCACAAAAACUCAUUCUAAUAGAGAAAAAAAAAAUUAUAAGAAGAGCGUGGCUUUUAUCCAGUUUAUAGUGAUUAGCUGCUAAUGGCAAUACAUUCCUUAAACUACAACUAAGAAAUGAGCAUUAUGGAAAUUUAAUAUAUAUAAUAUCAUAUAUAUAAUAUAUGAUCUCUUUCCCUUUUGAAAAUGUAUGGCCAUUGAUGGUAUUUUCCAGUCUCCCUUCCAGGAUUCCCUGGGGCAUUCUUCGCUUAGGGAAUUCAACUGCAGUGUAACUCCAGAGAAGCUGCACUUAGGAAUUGAUGGAUAAAGCAGAGAUGCCAUGCCAACAGCCUCAUACACCAUUCUCCAAAAGCUCCCAGAGCUCCAAAACCUUUUGAGGCAGAUCCUACUACAGCAAAGAAAUGCGUGUCCCAUACUGGGAUAGUUCAGGAUAACUUUCAUAAUAGGAUUCUAAAAGAGAUUUUAUUCAGUCCCAUCACCCCAUAAAGUCCUCUAUGGAAACAGUUUACUGUGUGGGCCAUAGGAAUACUUACAUAAGUAAAAAUACUUGCAUGUGCUUGAUAAGCACUAUCAACCUCUAUAAAAAGUCUUCAUAUUACUUCGGUGUAAGAUUGUUGGUUAAAUUGAGGUGACAAAGUAGGAAAUGAAAUUUACGUGAAAUAUCUAAUGAAAAAAAUUAUCCUGCCUUUACUCUAAGAUGACAUCUGUCAGAAUCAAACCACAGGAAACGCAGUGCUAUUCUACAUUAAAGGGAAAGCUUAUGCUCCUCGAUAAUGUCCUCCCAGGAAGGGUGUGCAUUCUGGUCUAAGUUAACAGAUCAGCAUUUUUACUGCAUUGCUUAUUAAAACAAAUCUUUUAUACCCAGGCCUACAUUUAACAAAUCAAAAUUAUUUAAAGCCAGUUGAAACUCCAUAAAUUUAUGAAAAUAUCGGAGAGUUUAGAUAUAUCACAUUUUCAACAAGUGAAAAAAACCCCCAACAUCCAUUUUAGUAAUGUUUCUAAGAACAUUUUUUGAAUUGAAAGAAAAAAAAAGAAAGAAAAAAUUCUUGCAGGCAUUUUGAAAAAAACCUUACAAAACCAAGUAUUUUUGCUUGCACAACUUUUGAACUUUGUAAAGUAUGCAUAAAAUUGUUAUGGUUCAAGCCCUAUCGAGCAGUGGAAACAUUUGGUAAUGAUAUUAACAGGUCAUAUCUAAUAAUUCACUAAAAGGAGAGAUUGUUAUUUAAAUUUUGCAUCACAUAAGCUAUACACAAGGUAAACUCCUUUGCAUAUGCUCAAACCUUUGACAAAUACUAAGGAACUAGGAUUUCUGUGAUCCUGGGAUUUCACACUGCAAUACAAAAUGCCAGUUUUCUCAGACCUAACUUAGGAAUCUCUAAAACAGUGUUGAAUUCCAGAGCAUAUAAAUUUGUUACCUUGUAAAUACCACAAGGUGCAUCAGACAUAUUAAUUAAUUAAUCAUCUGAAAUACAAACAUUUAUAAUUUGACAACAGUGCAUUAUGUUGUUCUACACCAUACUAUUUGUGAUAUUUUAAAUUUAAAAUCGUAACAAAAUGCUCUUCUAGCUUGGAUAUUUCAUUAGAGCUGAUAAAAAAAAUAUUAUUAUGUCUUUUGACAUACUUAUUCUUACAUUUUUCUGUCUAGAGGAACUAUUUGAACUGGUCACUCAGUGGAUAUAGGAUGCCACUUAGUUACAUCUGAAGUGAGGCCAGCAAACUUUUAGACUACACAAAUGUUUCAGAAAGAUGUUCCAUCCUGAUUUGAAAGCAUCAGAAAAUGGAGAAACCACAACUAUCUUUGCUAACUUCUUCCAGUGGUUAACUAACCUCAUUAAUAAUAGUUUGGAAUUUAUUGUUAAUUUUAACUUAUCUGGUUUUAAUUUUUAUACUGUGUUUGUUGUAUUUUUCCUUGCUGGCUCAAGACAUCAUUUAAUUCCUAGUAUUUUCUCUCUUUGAAGCAACUUAUUGACUAUAAUCAAGUUACCUCUUAACUUUCUUCUUUCUUUUCAUUUAUAUGCAAAUACAUAUGCUUAUCUUCAAAAGAAGAAAAAAAAAAAAAAAAAAAAAAGCGCGCAAGAUCCAUAACAAUAUUGAUUGAGAAAAGGCCAAGAAUGAACAAAACCAAGGUGGAAAUGCUUUUCUGAAACUAUAAAUUUAGACUAAACACAGAUUAAGGAGGUUGGUUUUCAAAAACACAUCAACACUGUAAUGAGAUUAAUAUUUCUAACUUGUUUGGGUGUUUCUGAAAUUCCACACCCACACAAGAAUAAGGCAUCCAUUUUAAAGAUAUUGACCUGAAGCAAUGAAGAAAUAGUAUUACUAAAUAAGUAAAUACAGUCUUCCACUGCCCCAUAUUCAUGAGCUAGGAAAGAUGCUUAGAUCUAAGAAAGAAACUGAUAACAUUUUAUGAGAAAAUCAGGGCAAUAAGAACCCUGUACAUCAUAUGGAAAACAAAAUAUUUUAUUCAUGUUUCAUGUAGAAAAAAAUCAGACUGGUCAGAAAUAUCCUGGCUGUUUAUAUGUGGUUGGAGGAGAUAUGCUCAGCAAUUCAGAAAGGCUAAAUCCCAUGUAAACUUUAUCCAUCCUAGAACCACUUAAGAUGUUCAAUUAUUUUUCUCUCUGAUUUCUGAACAUUCCAUCCAUUCUACUUUUUCUAUAUGUACAGAAACUGAAGAUCACAGAGUUUCUGUUUUGCUGCAAAAAAUUUCUAAGUUAAAUACAAAAGUACAAUAUUCAUUCUCUACAUUUAUAACCCUAUAAUAAAGCACAUGAUAAAACACUUACAUGGGUUCGUCAUGGCAAAACACCUGCGUAGUUUUCAUAGAUUAAUAAAAACGUAAUGAAAAUAAAAUUUAUAUUGUCAAAAUAUCUCAAAGAUGCUAAAAGGUCUUUUAUUUUAAAAACAGUAAGUGGUAAUGUUGUAAAUAAGGUAAAGAGCACUUCACAAAUUAUUGAUAAUUACUUAUCUAAACUGAAUUAUUCCUAAUAAAUUGAUUUAUAAAUCAGUAAUGUAUAUAAUUUUCCUGGGUAAUAAGCACCUACUGAGUAAUAUGGGUUUUAACAGUACUUUGCUUUACAGACUUUGAAAAACUUGGCAAUAAUAGAAGAGUUGAAACCAAAACAAAAACCAGAAAAGACGACCCUCUUAAGCUACAUCUACUCUGCGGUCACAGAAGUGACUUCUAGGUAGUGUAGAGUUAUUUUAAAUUACAUAGACUGGAAAAUUAUAACUGUCUAGCUAUUGCUGCUCGGAUUUAUUUAGUCCACUCUACUUUUACUUCCUUGACAGAAGUGUAGACAUAUACCAGAGACUUCUGUUCUGUUCCAUCUUUUUAUUUUUCUUUCUUUCCUCCUUCUCUCCUUUUAUUCUCCUCAAAUUAGAAAGCUCAGGGUAAAGUCAGGCACCGAACUAAACGCAAGCUUAAAACAUAACUUUUGGUGACACUUGGUGACCCCAAGAUGAAUGCUGGUUGAUGCCCACUUGUUAGGUCUGUAGUGUCUAAGUAUUUCAUAAUUAGAUAGCUUACACAGGUAUGUAAUACCACUUAAUAUCUCUUCUUGAAUACAACAAUUUAGUUAAGGUUAGCAGGUGUACCAUUGUCACUUCAAUCACUGAAGACCCUUCUGGGUAUCACUAGGGGUGUAAGUGUGAUAUAGUUAGCUGACGAAUUCCAUCCAAGAUUCUUAAAGUCCUGAUUAAGAGAAUGAAUCAAAUAGUCUGGGUGAAUGAUUUUUUUAACCUUAAAAACAGUUUACCUAGUAGUGGAGGAUUUAAGUUAUGAGUGAAGUUGGAAUCAGAAUCUCUGUCCUGAGAGAAAAAUCAGUACAACUGAAUAUGAGGAAGAAACAAUGUCUCUGUGCUAGAUAAGUUUUUGAAUCUUCUGAAAAAAUAGCCUAAAUUCUCAAAACUUUGGCAAAUUGAUAAUCUAAAAAAAUAAUUAUAAAUCUGAUGAAGGAAUGCUUUACAUCUAUAAUUUUAAUUUUAAUCCCUUUUUAUAUACAUUUUUCAACAUUUCAAAAUGAAAAGUCAAUUUGAACCGAAAAAUGAAACUUCACAUUUAAAAAUUUUGAAACAGGAUAUUUCAAUAAUUUAAAAACUUUUUUCCAUAAUAUAUUUCUAAUGAGCAUUUUCAAGAACAAUCCUUUUUCACAAACAGUGUUACUCUUGUGGAUUAAUAUUUCAAGUAAAACAUUUAAUUGAAAAAUUCCUGAUCAAGUGCAAUACACACUAUCUUCAUGAUAGAUAGAAAACCAUAUCAAAACUCAACACUUGUUUUCUUAAACACUCACCAGAACUGCCUUGCUUGCUGUUCUUCUUUGGCUUUUAUAAGCAUUAUUGCUUCUAUUUAUCACUAAUAAUAUUGGAAACAAAUGUAUUUUACCUAUUUGGUGGAAGACAGAAAACUUAAUCUUUGGAAUUUAUUACUCUGCAGUCAGAAUAGUCAAACCACAAAUCAGAUUAUUUUUGCUGGUAUAUUAUUGACUGUUUUCAUAAGAAUUAUGUUUACUCAUCUUCAGUAUAUCUUGAGUAUAUCUGCAGGAGCUAGAAACUCCAAAACAUACAAGGGAAUCUUGAUUUCCUUAUUUUUAUUUACAGAGCAACAAGAGAUAUACUUAUUUAAGAAACCUGCAAUAUAUGAAAUCUUCAGGUUAAUACAAGAAUGAGGUUUCAUCACAGUUUCUCUAUCUAAUUUACUGCAUGUAUAACCCAUGUUUGUCUCAUGUAUAUUCUUUCCAGCUUCUAAGCAAAGGACUAAUACCUUCCCCCUAUUAUCUUUCUGUAGUUUUUCACUUCACCUAAUUUCUCUUCAUAACUAACAUAAACAUUAUCAUAAAGAAGGGGAUUUCUCUCUUAUGGACAGCAAGCAGAGGUAUGUUUUCUCCAGUUUAUUGUUCCUAUUUAUAGGUCAUUACCUAAUUGUAUUUAAAAAUCACUUUUCUGUUUUACCUUAACUUCUGCUUCAAGAUCGCUCCUUCUAAGAAUCCAAAUCCUUAAAAUGCAGUUAACUUCUGCUU